UGCGUAGGUGGCGCCGUAAGUGGGUGUGAAAUCCCGGGGCUUAACCCCGGGACUGCAUUCCAUACUGCGGUGCUUGAGGACUGGAGAGGAGACUGGAAUUUACGGUGUAGCAGUGAAAUGCGUAGAGAUCGUAAGGAAGACCAGUGGCGAAGGCGGGUCUCUGGACAGUUCCUGACACUGAGGCACGAAGGCCAGGGGAGCAAACG
This 206-nucleotide ribosomal RNA is filed under the name uncultured bacterium. RNAcentral's name for it is "partial 16S ribosomal RNA". It matches the Rfam family "Bacterial small subunit ribosomal RNA", at positions 568 to 774 of the family's 1533-position model. The record is from RNAcentral.